Molecule: ribosomal RNA, 117 nt
Filed under: Gallicola sp.
Lineage: Bacteria; Bacillati; Bacillota; Tissierellia; Tissierellales; Peptoniphilaceae
Also listed under: 1 other name
Source: RNAcentral
UAGAGUGACGAUGGCGGAAGGGAUCCACCUGUUCCCAUCUCGAACACAGAAGUUAAGCCUUCUUGCGCCGAUGGUACUUAUCCGGAAACGGAUUGGGAGAGUAGGUAGUCGCUCAAC